Molecule: ribosomal RNA, 301 nt
Filed under: uncultured bacterium
Lineage: Bacteria
Description: partial 16S ribosomal RNA
Rfam family: Bacterial small subunit ribosomal RNA
Source: RNAcentral
CAGUAGCCACGGGAAUACGUAGGUGGCAAGCGUUGUCCGGAAUUAUUGGGCGUAAAGGGCUCGCAGGCGGUUUCUUAAGUCUGAUGUGAAAGCCCCCGGCUCAACCGGGGAGGGUCAUUGGAAACUGGGAAACUUGAGUGCAGAAGAGGAGAGUGGAAUUCCACGUGUAGCGGUGAAAUGCGUAGAGAUGUAGAGGAACACCAGUGGCGAAGGCGACUCUCUGGUCUGUAACUGACGCUGAGGAGCGAAAGCGUGGGGAGCGAACAGGAUUAGAUACCCGCGUAGUCCCUGUCUCUUAUAC